RNAcentral lists this ribosomal RNA (668 nucleotides) under Escherichia coli. RNAcentral's name for it is "bacterial LSU rRNA". It matches the Rfam family "Bacterial large subunit ribosomal RNA", at positions 2275 to 2925 of the family's 2925-position model. Lineage: Bacteria; Pseudomonadati; Pseudomonadota; Gammaproteobacteria; Enterobacterales; Enterobacteriaceae. The record is from RNAcentral.
UGGGGCGGUCUCCUCCUAAAGAGUAACGGAGGAGCACGAAGGUUGGCUAAUCCUGGUCGGACAUCAGGAGGUUAGUGCAAUGGCAUAAGCCAGCUUGACUGCGAGCGUGACGGCGCGAGCAGGUGCGAAAGCAGGUCAUAGUGAUCCGGUGGUUCUGAAUGGAAGGGCCAUCGCUCAACGGAUAAAAGGUACUCCGGGGAUAACAGGCUGAUACCGCCCAAGAGUUCAUAUCGACGGCGGUGUUUGGCACCUCGAUGUCGGCUCAUCACAUCCUGGGGCUGAAGUAGGUCCCAAGGGUAUGGCUGUUCGCCAUUUAAAGUGGUACGCGAGCUGGGUUUAGAACGUCGUGAGACAGUUCGGUCCCUAUCUGCCGUGGGCGCUGGAGAACUGAGGGGGGCUGCUCCUAGUACGAGAGGACCGGAGUGGACGCAUCACUGGUGUUCGGGUUGUCAUGCCAAUGGCACUGCCCGGUAGCUAAAUGCGGAAGAGAUAAGUGCUGAAAGCAUCUAAGCACGAAACUUGCCCCGAGAUGAGUUCUCCCUGACCCUUUAAGGGUCCUGAAGGAACGUUGAAGACGACGACGUUGAUAGGCCGGGUGUGUAAGCGCAGCGAUGCGUUGAGCUAACCGGUACUAAUGAACCGUGAGGCUUAACCUUACAACGCCGAAG